AUGUGGGAAUUCGAAUCUGUAGUUUCCGGGAUGAACUUCUCAGCUUUCCAGUUCCUCCACUCCUCAAAUCAGAUGGCUACAUUCAGUUGUCUGAUGACCUUGAGUUCUAUACCUCCUGGCCCGUGUGGUUUUAUGCAUGAUGGCUGAAGAGAAGCUUUCUCCAAUCACGAAUAUCAUCUGCACAGCGACCCAUCAUGUACAGCAGCAUACUGACCUGUUCACUGCU
Molecule: long non-coding RNA, 226 nt
Organism: Carcharodon carcharias (great white shark)
Lineage: Eukaryota; Metazoa; Chordata; Chondrichthyes; Lamniformes; Lamnidae
Exons: 3
Source: RefSeq, a predicted model, not a curated record